UCGGCUCCGGUUCACGUUCCCGCGAUUCCCGCGCGAGCGACCCGGCGGCC
This 50-nucleotide non-coding RNA is filed under the name Nocardia tenerifensis NBRC 101015. RNAcentral describes it as "L31-Actinobacteria ribosomal protein leader". It matches the Rfam family "L31-Actinobacteria ribosomal protein leader". The record is from RNAcentral. Lineage: Bacteria; Bacillati; Actinomycetota; Actinomycetes; Mycobacteriales; Nocardiaceae.